RNAcentral lists this ribosomal RNA (207 nucleotides) under uncultured bacterium. RNAcentral's name for it is "partial 16S ribosomal RNA". It matches the Rfam family "Bacterial small subunit ribosomal RNA", at positions 568 to 774 of the family's 1533-position model. The record is from RNAcentral.
CAUGCAGGUGGUUAGUUAAGUCAGAUGUGAAAGCCCGGGGCUCAACCUCGGAACUGCAUUUGAAACUGGCUGACUAGAGUACUGUAGAGGGGGGUAGAAUUUCAGGUGUAGCGGUGAAAUGCGUAGAGAUCUGAAGGAAUACCGGUGGCGAAGGCGGCCCCCUGGACAGAUACUGACACUCAGAUGCGAAAGCGUGGGGAGCAAACA